This 2464-nucleotide long non-coding RNA is filed under the name Sorghum bicolor (sorghum). Its description in RNAcentral is "long non-coding RNA (SBIC_LNC003460)". Lineage: Eukaryota; Viridiplantae; Streptophyta; Magnoliopsida; Poales; Poaceae. The record is from RNAcentral.
GCCCCAGUUUGGCCACCUACAGAUGACUCAAGGUAGAAGAAGACAUAUUUACAAGUUUGCCACUGGUCAUUAAUGCUUCGCCAUUUAAUCGUUCUAACUCUGUUUCAUUCCGUUUCAAUUGCGUUAGUUUCGUAACGUCGCGCUCUACACAGUAGUGCUAAUUUUUUUUAUGUCAUAUAUUUUUUCCAUAUUUAAUUGAAUAUUAGAUUAAUUAAUAUAUGCACCUGAUUUUAUAAUUAAAAGUAAUAUAGAGUUAUAAUAAUGUUUUCUAUUGUUUUCUGACCAUGGCAACGUAAAUGACUUAUUAGCGAUACUGUUUUCCAUGUCCCAUGUUUAUAAAUAUAAUUAGUUUAAUUAAUAUUUUUUGAAUGUCAUUUUUAAUUAACAAAUAGGUUUACACUUCGCUAUUUUUAUAAUCUAAUAUUAACUUGAUUGAAGUUAACUUAAAUAUUUAUUAAUUAUAAUUCUUUUAGUUAGACAUAAAGUAUAGAAUUAAUUUGUUUAAUAUUUAUUUAAUGUCUUUCUGGAUUAAAAGUAACUUAUGUUUAUAAUUUAGAUCUUUUAUAAAUAAAUAAAUGUUAACAUUAUUAAUAUCAACUUAAAUGGUUCUUUAUUAGUUAUAACUUGUUUAAUAUAAAUGCGACGCAUGUUAGGAUUUGAUUAGCUGCUCUUACUUGCUUUAUGUUUUCUAAAAUUAGAAAGGCGUAAUGGCUUAAAGGAUAUAUAACCAUCUACAAUUAAAAUAUAACUAAAAUUUAACUCCGGCUUUUAUAAUUCAACAUAAUUUGGUUAAUCUAAUUAGGAUAGUUCUAUUAAAUGUCUGUCAUAUUAUUUCAUCUAAUAAAAUACGACCAACGUAUAGUCUGUCUUCUCUCUGUUUUGUUGCAAGCCCCAAUAGUCGUGUCCGUUUAACGAUAGCUCCGUUCUCAAUCGUUCUUGUGUUGUCACGAUUAUGACAAUAAGCCGUGUCGUUUAUUGCGCUCUUCUUUUUCAAAGCUUUUCUUUUGAUUGAUGCCUGUUCUUAGUCGUGAUUGUUGUUUGUCUGUUUGUGUUACUUGGUUGCUACGAGUAGAAGAAGCGUGGUUCGUCAAUAGUGAAGACCAGGAGCUAAGGACCGACAGUCGAAGCAGAAGUUGAAGAUUAGAAGAAAGAAGCCAAAGAAUUCUGAGCAAAUAUACACUGGGAAUAAAGGCAAGUGCAGACACUGUUUGAUCAUUUUGAACCUACUCAUUAAUGUCAUUUACUUUAUAUGCAUGGGUCCAAUGAAUGCAAACCCUAAGGACAUGACUAGCUUUACUUACCAUUCCUUGCUCACCUGGGGUUAUGUAUAUGGGUAGUCUAGGCUAUACUAGGUUUGCUUAGCUGCUCUACUCAUCUUAUACACAUGCCUAAACAAGUAAUAAUCUCCACUCAACUUGAUGCUUAAACUGUGCUGGAUCUUUGGUCACUACGGUGAUGGCGAUGUUGGAUGCUUACGAGCAUCGUGAUGAUGGUGGUGAUAGGGGGAGCGGGUACCGUUGGUGGUCCGGUUUGCCGGACGUACCCGUCUCUGCUCCCCGUAAGGACUUAGUCAGGGAGCGGCCCCCUGGGACAUACAGUGCAGCUCCAAGCUAUAUGGCUCUGGCUUGACUAAUUAGCAGGACCUCCACUAGUAGGGUGUUACUUUCCGGGUAGGCGUGAGGAAGUAACUUGGGUAAUGAAUAUUAAGUUGUCGGUUGAUCGGUACGCCAUGGCUAUGGGUAUCGACUGUUGAGCGCCCCGGCGAAAACUUGCGAGUGGCAUCCUAUUAGUUGGACCCUGUGAAAGGUCUCGUAGUGAGACCCUGCCUGCUCACCUUGGUAGUGUUUUGGGGAGUCAUGACCCCGGGCAAAUGGGAAUCACGACUUGGAGUGAACGUGCACACCUCUGCAGAGUGUAAAACUGAUAUAUCAGCCGUGCUCACGGUCACGAGCGGCCCAGACCCUCACUUGAUGAGCAAAUUGGAUUCACUGGAUACUUGGAGAUGGAACUUGGCGAGGUUGCUACCUCGUGUUUUGGCGGAAUGGCUAUUCCGUGUUGGCAGGAUUGCUAUCCUGUGUUAAUACUUGGGGUUAAUCCCUGGAUUACUAUAAUAAUUAGGAUAGUCUUUUAAAAGAUGCUAAUUACUACUUACACUAAAUAAGGGUUGGGUUUAUGCUACUCAUACUUAGUAGUAGGUUGUUCUAAUAAUAGUCAUAGUUAAAAGUGAUCAAACUAAAAUGCUACGCGGUCAAACCAAGUCAGCUUUACCUUGUUUUAAGCCUUGCAUGUCAUUACUUUCCGUCUGUGCUUGCUGAGUUCGACAUGAACUCACCCUUGCUAUUUUCCCCCCACACCCCCAGUGUGUAGUAAAGUGCUGCUCAGAAGAAGGAUAAAGACGUCAUGGAGUUUUCUAGAAGCUUAUCAGAAGUGCUUGGCGUACGGAGCCCCCAGUCAACCGUCCCUG